UAAUAGUUUAAAAGAAUUUUUUUUAUAUUUUUUUUAAUUUAAAAAAAAAUUAUUUCAAUAAAUUAAAGUUUGAUUGGAUUUAUUAAAGAUUACUUGAGGCUUAUUUAAAGCUCUAUUAAACUCGGUAGAAUUAUUUUUAUAUUAUUACUUAUCUUCAAAACUAAAUAUCUGGUGUAUUUUCAAGUAAGAAUAUAUGACAAGUAAUAUGAUCAAGUUUGAUAUUAUAAUCUUAAAAGAUAUUCUUGAUGUUUGGUGAUUUUAUUAAAGGUAAG
This 272-nucleotide long non-coding RNA is filed under the name Physcomitrium patens. Its description in RNAcentral is "long non-coding RNA (PPAT_LNC006845)". Lineage: Eukaryota; Viridiplantae; Streptophyta; Bryopsida; Funariales; Funariaceae. The record is from RNAcentral.